RNAcentral lists this ribosomal RNA (181 nucleotides) under uncultured bacterium. RNAcentral's name for it is "partial 16S ribosomal RNA". It matches the Rfam family "Bacterial small subunit ribosomal RNA", at positions 1320 to 1500 of the family's 1533-position model. The record is from RNAcentral.
AUGAAGCCGGAAUCGCUAGUAAUCGCGGAUCAGAAUGCCGCGGUGAAUACGUUCCCGGGUCUUGUACACACCGCCCGUCACACCAUGGGAGUCGGGAAUGCCCGAAGUCAGUGACCCAACCCAAGGGAGGGAGCUGCCGAAGGCAGGCCUGGUGACUGGGGUGAAGUCGUAACAAGGUACC